AUACGUAGGGUGCAAGCGUUAAUCGGAAUUACUGGGCGUAAAGCGUGCGCAGGCGGUUUUGUAAGACAGUGGUGAAAUCCCCGGGCUCAACCUGGGAACUGCCAUUGUGACUGCAAGGCCGGAGUGCGGCAGAGGGGGAUGGAAUUCCGCGUGUAGCAGUGAAAUGCGUAGAUAUGCGGAGGAACACCGAUGGCGAAGGCAAUCCCCUGGGCCUGCACUGACGCUCAUGCACGAAAGCGUGGGGAGCAAACAGGAUUAGAUACCCUGGUAGUCCACGCCCUAAACGAUGUCAACUGGUUGUUGGGGAUUUAUUUUCUCAGUAACGAAGCUAACGCGUGAAGUUGACCGCCUGGGGAGUACGGCCGCAAGGUUAAAACUCAAAGGAAUUGACGGGG
RNAcentral lists this ribosomal RNA (395 nucleotides) under uncultured bacterium. Its description in RNAcentral is "partial 16S ribosomal RNA". It matches the Rfam family "Bacterial small subunit ribosomal RNA", at positions 523 to 918 of the family's 1533-position model. The record is from RNAcentral.